Molecule: non-coding RNA, 47 nt
Organism: Agrilus planipennis (emerald ash borer)
Lineage: Eukaryota; Metazoa; Arthropoda; Insecta; Coleoptera; Buprestidae
Source: Rfam
AAAUCGGUUCUUCUCAGAACCACAACUUUGAAUAGUCACCUUUGACU